Molecule: ribosomal RNA, 253 nt
Filed under: uncultured bacterium
Lineage: Bacteria
Description: partial 16S ribosomal RNA
Rfam family: Bacterial small subunit ribosomal RNA
Source: RNAcentral
GACGUAGGAGGCGAGCGUUGUCCGGAUUCAUUGGGCGUAAAGGGUGCGUAGGCGGCGCGGUAAGUCGGGUGUGAAAUCUCGGGGCUUAACUCCGAAACUGCAUUCGAUACUGCCGUGCUUGAGGACUGGAGAGGAGACUGGAAUUUACGGUGUAGCGGUGAAAUGCGUAGAUAUCGUAAGGAAGACCAGUGGCGAAGGCGGGUCUCUGGACAGUUCCUGACGCUGAGGCACGAAGGUCAGGGGAGCAAACGGG